GCGGCGUGCUUAACAUGCAAGUCNAACGCUGAAGCUUGGUGCUUGCACUGGGUGGAUGAGUGGCGAACGGGUGAGUAAUACGUGAGUAACCUGCCCUUGACUCUGGGAUAAGCCUGGGAAACUGGGUCUAAUACUGGAUAUGACCUCCUGUCGCAUGGUGGGGGGUGGAAAGGGUUUGUACUGGUUGUGGAUGGGCUCACGGCCUAUCAGCUUGUUGGUGGGGUAAUGGCCUACCAAGGCGACGACGGGUAGCCGGCCUGAGAGGGUGACCGGCCACACUGGGACUGAGACACGGCCCAGACUCCUACGGGAGGCAGCAGUGGGGAAUAUUGCACAAUGGGCGCAAGCCUGAUGCAGCGACGCCGCGUGAGGGAUGACGGCCUUCGGGUUGUAAACCUCUUUCAGCACGGAAGAAGCGAAAGUGACGGUACGUGCAGAAAAAGCGCCGGCUAACUACGUGCCAGCAGCCGCGGUAAUACGUANGGCGCAAGCGUUGUCCGGAAUUAUUGGGCGUAAAGAGCUCGUANGCGGUUUGUCGCGUCUGCUGUGAAAGCCCGGGGCUUAACCCCGGGUGUGCAGUGGGUACGGGCAGACUUGAGUGCAGUAGGGGAGACUGGAACUCCUGGUGUAGCGGUGAAAUGCGCAGAUAUCAGGAAGAACACCGAUGGCGAAGGCAGGUCUCUGGGCUGUUACUGACGCUGA
Molecule: ribosomal RNA, 702 nt
Filed under: Kocuria sp. Fun-101
Lineage: Bacteria; Bacillati; Actinomycetota; Actinomycetes; Micrococcales; Micrococcaceae
Description: bacterial SSU rRNA
Rfam family: Bacterial small subunit ribosomal RNA
Source: RNAcentral